GACGAACGCUGGCGGCGUGCCUAAUACAUGCAAGUUGAGCGCUGAAGGUUGGUACUUGUACCAACUGGAUGAGCAGCGAACGGGUGAGUAACGCGUGGGGAAUCUGCCUUUGAGCGGGGGACAACAUUUGGAAACGAAUGCUAAUACCGCAUAAAAACUUUAAACACAAGUUUUAAGUUUGAAAGAUGCAAUUGCAUCACUCAAAGAUGAUCCCGCGUUGUAUUAGCUAGUUGGUGAGGUAAAGGCUCACCAAGGCGAUGAUACAUAGCCGACCUGAGAGGGUGAUCGGCCACAUUGGGACUGAGACACGGCCCAAACUCCUACGGGAGGCAGCAGUAGGGAAUCUUCGGCAAUGGACGAGAGUCUGACCGAGCAACGCCGCGUGAGUGAAGAAGGUUGUCGGAUCGUAAAACUCUGUUGGUAGAGAAGAACGUUGGUGAGAGUGGAAAGCUCAUCAAGUGACGGUAACUACCCAGAAAGGGACGGCUAACUACGUG
This 497-nucleotide ribosomal RNA is filed under the name uncultured bacterium. RNAcentral's name for it is "partial 16S ribosomal RNA". It matches the Rfam family "Bacterial small subunit ribosomal RNA", at positions 28 to 507 of the family's 1533-position model. The record is from RNAcentral.